ACUCCUACGGGAGGCAGCAGUGGGAAGUAUUGCACAAUGGGCGCAAGCCUGAUGCAGCCAUGCCGCGUGUAUGAAGAAGGCCUUCGGGUUGUAAAGUACUUUCAGCAGUGAGGAAGGUGGGUAUGUUAAUAGCAUAUUCAUUUGACGUUAGCUGCAGAAGAAGCACCGGCUAACUCCGUGCCAGCAGCCGCGGUAAUACGGAGGGUGCGAGCGUUAAUCGGAAUUACUGGGCGUAAAGCGCAUGCAGGUGGUUUGUUAAGUCAGAUGUGAAAGCCCGGGGCUCAACCUCGGAAUUGCAUUUGAAACUGGCAAACUAGAGUAACUGUAGAGGGGGGUAGAAUUUCAGGUGUAGCGGUAGAAAUGACGUAGAGAUCUAGAAGGAAUACCGGUGGCGACGGCGGCCCCCUGGACAGAUACUGACACUCAGAUAGCGAAAGCGUAGGGGAGCAAACAGGAUUAGAUACCCUGGUAAGGCUCU
Molecule: ribosomal RNA, 478 nt
Filed under: uncultured bacterium
Lineage: Bacteria
Description: bacterial SSU rRNA
Rfam family: Bacterial small subunit ribosomal RNA
Source: RNAcentral